CCCUUAGAUGUUCUGGGCUGCACGCGCGCUACACUGAUGCGCUCAACGAGUUUACGACCUUGCCCGGAAGGGUUGGGUAAUCUUUUUAAAACGCAUCGUGAUGGGGAUAGAUUAUUGCAAUUAUUAAUCUUCAACGAGGAAUGCCUAGUAAGCGCAAGUCAUCAGCUUGCGUUGAUUACGUCCCUGCCCUUUGUACACACCGCCCGUCGCUCCUACCGAUUGAAUGGUCCGGUGAAGCGUUCGGACCGUGGCCUUUGGACGGUUCGCCGUCUGUUGGCUGCGGGAAGUUCGUUAAACCUUAUCAUUUAGAGGAAGGAGAAGUCGUAACA
This 329-nucleotide ribosomal RNA is filed under the name uncultured eukaryote. Its description in RNAcentral is "partial 18S ribosomal RNA". It matches the Rfam family "Eukaryotic small subunit ribosomal RNA", at positions 1470 to 1796 of the family's 1831-position model. The record is from RNAcentral.